AACUCGGCAGCAGUCAAGAGGCCCAUCAGUAAACAAAAGGAGAAAUCAACUGUGGUCCAUCCAGACAGUGGAGUAUUAUUCAACACUGAAAAGAAAUGAGCUUUCAAGCCAUGAAAAGACAUAGAGGAAAGUUAAAUGCAUGUUACUGAGUGAAAGAAGCCAAUCCGAAAAGGCGACAUACUGUACAAUUCCAACUCUGAGAUUCUGGAAAAGGCAAAACUGAGGAGACAGCAUAAGUUCCCGCUGAGGCUGGCCAUGGCACAGGCUCAGCUGAGGGAGACGGGACUUCAGUCCAGACGAGAGUGACCCGGAGACGACGCAAGCCAUGGUCGGGGCAGGGCACUCACCAAUGAAGGACACGGCCUUGGUGUUGAUGAUGCCGCUGGGCAGCAGGUGGAAGUCGUACUCUUUCCCAUCCACCACCACCGUGUGGCCGGCGUUGUUGCCCCCCUGGAACAGAAACCCGGCUGAGCUGAAGGCACUUGGGUACUGAGGACCCCCCGGACAUGGACUGACCCACAUGGGGCUUCGUCUGUCCCUGCAGGGCACUGCUGUUGGAUUUUGGGGUGUCUGGUUUGGUGGCCAGCUCUGAUGCGUCUGUGCGGGACUGGGAUGUGGGCAUCCUGCACCUUGGAAGGAGGGCAGCAGUUUGGUCAGGGGCCUGGGUCGGGGAGGGUCUGGCCCAGGCUGGUGCCAACACCUCCAGGUGGCUUGGUGCAGGUCUCUGCAGCUGCGGGCCCCGCUCUGGAGCUCGCUCCUCUCAUGCAGGAAUGAGGAGGCCUAACCCUCCCACAGAACAUGAAUUCAGCACCCCCACGGCCAAACCUGCCCUCACCCACUUUAGCAGAAACCCUUCCCUUUGGGCAGGCACCUCCCGUCUAAGAAUGAAAAAGAAAAAGCCA
Long non-coding RNA from Homo sapiens (human), 902 nucleotides. RefSeq lists it as uncharacterized. The transcript has 3 exons. NCBI's taxonomy places the organism in Eukaryota, Metazoa, Chordata, Mammalia, Primates, Hominidae. The record is from RefSeq and is a predicted model, not a curated record.